GUACCUGUGACUGCUUUUGUAGCUGUAGUGGCCAUUAUAAUAGUAACAACAAUACAGCCUCCUGAGCAGAGUGGAAGCCUGAUGUGGUUUGGCUGUGACCACACCCAAAUCUCACUUUGAAUUGUAAUAAUCUCCACGUGCCAAGGGUGGGGCCAGGUGGAGAUAAUUCAAUCAUGGGGGGACGGUUUCUGCCAUACUGUUCUCAUAGCUGCCUGCAAGGUGGGGAUAGUCAGGUCUACCUGGCAGCAUCACUGCAGAGACAAAAUGAGGUAACAGUGUCUGGCAUGCAAUAGAUGCUCAAUAAACCCUCCUUUGUUUUCUGGCCCGGGGUCUUGACCAUAAGAUGGAACAGUGAGUACCCAAUGAACAGAGAAAGAAAGGAGAAUAAAUCAAUGAUGAUUUUCUAAUGGGACCAUAAAUCACAUCACAGCUCAGCUUAGAAUCCUCUCUGAGGCCUGGAACUGGAAGCUGGAAAUUUUUUUAAUUUUAUCCCUUUGUUAUUUGGCUGAUAUCUAUUUUCUCCAGUUAAACUGGAAGCUACAUCAAGCCAAGAACUGAGUUUCUGGUCAUGAUUCUCUCUCAAGCACCUGGAACGGCAUGUGGCACAUGGAAAACAUCACAAAUACAUUGAAUGAAUGAAUGAGACAAUACAAGUACUCAUCUCAGCACCCGGAGCGGUCCAUGUUCUCAGUAAACAUUAUGCAUGAUCACCACCAACUUUCUAGAGCUAGGCAUGACUGAACCUCAAGGUGGGGAUAGGAGAAGAUGCCAAGGAUGGUGCAGGCAGGGUGGAAGAAGUUGGCCAGCUGCCAGGUCUGAGGGUGAAGGAGACUAGGAGGAGGCUUAGGGAGAGGAAGGGGUGGGUCUCCAGUUGUGGGGAGUUAAUGCAAGGGAGUGACUCUGUGGUGCAGUACAAAGACCAGGUCUAAGAACAAGGACCCUGGGCCCAGCUCCAUAGAAUGAGACCAAGCACCUGCUCUCAGGCCUCAGUUUCUCCAUAUACACAGUCUCUGCAGCACCCCCAGCCCCAAAAGCCCUGAGUUUGUAAUGAACAUAGCAGCCCAAGUGCAUUUUCAGCCAGAGCACAGAACUGCAGGGAUCUGGAGUGAUCCAUGUUGGCCAAGGAGCCAGAGAGGGCAGUGUCUAUGCCUGUCAGCUUCAGGGCAUCUGUGGGGAGGGCAGGGCGAGGGCUUGGGGUAGGGGGCUGGUCAGCGCUGGAGGCAGAAUCCAUGCUCAUCUCCCGGGAAAGUGAGGGUGGUGGCACCAGACUGGAUUUGUAGAUCUCAUGGUCUCCAGUCUGGUCAACUCCACUGUCACCAUCUCCCUCCACAGGGUUGAGGCAGGGAGCAUCCCAGGGCCACGGAUGCACACACACCCCCACUCCCUUUGCCUCUCCCUUUGGGGGGCAGCCUUGACCCCAUCUCUGACUCUGGUUUCCUGACUUCCUUAGCCAUGUCCGUGAUUGAGCUGAGCCAUGUCAGACACCAGGUCAAUAACCACGGAUGAGUUCAUAGGAAGAUACGUUACUUAAUAUGAGCCAGUCAGAGCAAAGCCCAGGACUUCUCCAUUCUGGUUGGGAGACACGACGCGUUCUGCUAAAUGGGAAGGAGGAAAUACAUCACCCAAGUUGAUGCUGCAACCACAAGAGAAGACAGACUGAAGAUGAAGUUGAUACUCUGGGAGGGAGAGCAGAUCACUGAAAAAAUGCUGAGUCCUUGGUCACACAAUCGGGUUUCUAGAUCAGUCC
RNAcentral lists this long non-coding RNA (1747 nucleotides) under Homo sapiens (human). Its description in RNAcentral is "non-protein coding lnc-ZCCHC17-14:1". Lineage: Eukaryota; Metazoa; Chordata; Mammalia; Primates; Hominidae. The record is from RNAcentral.